AUUGAACGCUGGCGGCAUGCCUUACACAUGCAAGUCGAACGGCAGCGCGGGCUUCGGCCUGGCGGCGAGUGGCGGACGGGUGAGUAAUGCAUCGGAACGUGCCCAGGAGUGGGGGAUAACGUAGCGAAAGUUACGCUAAUACCGCAUACAUACUAAGGUAGAAAGCGGGGGAUCGAAAGACCUCGCGCUCAUGGAGCGGCCGAUGUCGGAUUAGCUAGUUGGUGGGGUAAAAGCUCACCAAGGCGACGAUCCGUAGCUGGUCUGAGAGGACGACCAGCCACACUGGGACUGAGACACGGCCCAGACUCCUACGGGAGGCAGCAGUGGGGAAUCUUGGACAAUGGGGGAAACCCUGAUCCAGCAAUGCCGCGUGUGGGAUGAAGGCCCUCGGGUUGUAAACCACUUUUGGCAGGAAAGAAAUCGCCUGUGCUAAUACCACGGGCGGAUGACGGUACCUGCAGAAUAAGCACCGGCUAACUACGUGCCAGCAGCCGCGGUAA
RNAcentral lists this ribosomal RNA (500 nucleotides) under uncultured bacterium. Its description in RNAcentral is "partial 16S ribosomal RNA". It matches the Rfam family "Bacterial small subunit ribosomal RNA", at positions 29 to 523 of the family's 1533-position model. The record is from RNAcentral.